Molecule: ribosomal RNA, 441 nt
Filed under: uncultured bacterium
Lineage: Bacteria
Description: partial 16S ribosomal RNA
Rfam family: Bacterial small subunit ribosomal RNA
Source: RNAcentral
CCUACGGGUGGCAGCAGUGGGGAAUCUUGUACAAUGGGCGAAAGCCUGAUGCAGCGACGCCGCGUGAGUGAAGAAGUAUUUCGGUAUGUAAAGCUCUAUCAGAAGGGAAGAAAAAAGACGGUAUCUGACUAAGAAGCCCCGGCUAACUACGUGCCAGCAGCCGCGGUAAAACGGAGGGGGCAAGCGUUAUCCGGAUUUACUGGGCGUAAGGGGGGCGUAGUCGGGGUAGCGAGUCUGAAGGGAAAGCCCGUGGCUUAACCCCGGGUAAGCUUUGGAAACUGUUUGACUAGAGUGCUGGAGAGGUGAGUGGAAUUCCUUGUGUAGCGGUGAAAUGCGUAGAUAUUAGGAGGAACACCAGUGGCGAAGGCGGCUUACUGGACAGUAACUGACGUUGAGGCUCGAAAGCGUGGGGAGCAAACAGGAUUAGAUACCCCUGUAGUC